Molecule: ribosomal RNA, 405 nt
Filed under: uncultured bacterium
Lineage: Bacteria
Description: bacterial SSU rRNA
Rfam family: Bacterial small subunit ribosomal RNA
Source: RNAcentral
GUGGGGAAUAUUGCACAAUGGGGGAAACCCUGAUGCAGCAACGCCGCGUGAGUGAAGAAGUAUUUCGGUAUGUAAAGCUCUAUCAGCAGGGAAGAGAAUGACGGUACCUGACUAAGAAGCCCCGGCUAACUACGUGCCAGCAGCCGCGGUAAUACGUAGGGGGCAAGCGUUAUCCGGAUUUACUGGGUGUAAAGGGAGCGUAGACGGCUUUGCAAGUCUGAAGUGAAAGCCCGCGGCUUAACCGCGGAACCGCUUUGGAAACUGCAUAGCUAGAGUGCUGGAGAGGUAAGCGGAAUUCCUGGUGUAGCGGUGAAAUGCGUAGAUAUCAGGAGGAACACCGGUGGCGAAGGCGGCUUACUGGACAGUCACUGACGUUGAGGCUCGAAAGCGUGGGGAGCAAACAGG